Molecule: microRNA precursor, 123 nt
Filed under: Gossypium hirsutum (cotton)
Lineage: Eukaryota; Viridiplantae; Streptophyta; Magnoliopsida; Malvales; Malvaceae
Description: MIR7504 microRNA precursor family
Rfam family: MIR7504 microRNA precursor family
Source: Rfam by way of RNAcentral
AAUGGAAAAAUGUCAAAUCAGAUUUUUCUUAUUGAUUUUCAGUUUUUUUCUCUUGAAAAAAAUUUAAAUCCAAUUAAAAAUGCUGAAAAUCAAAGGAAAAUUUUGAUUUGUUAUUCUCCCAUU